UACGAAGGGGGCAAGCGUUACUCGGAAUUACUGGGCGUAAAGCGUGCGUAGGUGGCUUGUUAAGUCUGCUGUGAAAGCCCCGGGCUCAACCUGGGAAUGGCAGUGGAUACUGGCAAGCUAGAGUGCGGUAGAGGGUAGUGGAAUUCCCGGUGUAGCGGUGAAAUGCGUAGAGAUCGGGAGGAACACCAGUGGCGAAGGCGGCUACCUGGACCAGCACUGACACUGAGGCACGAAAGCGUGGGGAGCAAACAGG
Molecule: ribosomal RNA, 253 nt
Filed under: uncultured bacterium
Lineage: Bacteria
Description: partial 16S ribosomal RNA
Rfam family: Bacterial small subunit ribosomal RNA
Source: RNAcentral